RNAcentral lists this ribosomal RNA (405 nucleotides) under Eutropis tytleri (Tytler's mabuya). RNAcentral describes it as "partial 12S ribosomal RNA". It matches the Rfam family "Bacterial small subunit ribosomal RNA", at positions 793 to 1400 of the family's 1533-position model. Lineage: Eukaryota; Metazoa; Chordata; Lepidosauria; Squamata; Scincidae. The record is from RNAcentral.
UGCCUAGCCCUUAACAUAAGCAGCAAACAAUACAAUACUGCCCGCCAGAGAACUACAAGUGAAAAGCUUAAAACUCCAAGGACUUGGCGGUGCUCCACAUCGACCUAGAGGAGCCUGUCCUAUAAUCGAUACCCCACGUUAUACCUUACCAUUUUUUGCAACUUCAGCCUAUAUACCGCCGUCGUCCAACCUACCUUAUGAAAGAAACAAAGUAGGUAAAAUAGUUUACAACAAGUACGUCAGGUCAAGGUGUAGCAUAUAAAAUGGAAGAGAUGGGCUACAUUUUCUACUUCAGAAAACACGAACAGCACUGUGAAACCCGUGCUUAAAGGUGGAUUUAGCUGUAAGAUGAACAAGAAAGUUUGCCUUAACCCCGCUCUGGAGCGCGCACACACCGCCCGUCAC